RNAcentral lists this ribosomal RNA (253 nucleotides) under uncultured bacterium. RNAcentral describes it as "partial 16S ribosomal RNA". It matches the Rfam family "Bacterial small subunit ribosomal RNA", at positions 524 to 776 of the family's 1533-position model. The record is from RNAcentral.
UACGUAGGGACCGAGCGUUGUCCGGAAUCAUUGGGCGUAAAGGGCGCGUAGGCGGCUUGAUAAGGUUGCGGUGAAAGCCCGGGGCUCAACCCCGGGUCGGCCGUGGCAACUGUCGAGCUGGAGCACUGUAGAGGCAGGUGGAAUUCCGGGUGUAGCGGUGGAAUGCGUAGAGAUCCGGAAGAACACCGGUGGCGAAGGCGGCCUGCUGGGCAGUGGCUGACGCUGAGGCGCGACAGCGUGGGGAGCAAACAGG